Molecule: ribosomal RNA, 253 nt
Filed under: uncultured bacterium
Lineage: Bacteria
Description: partial 16S ribosomal RNA
Rfam family: Bacterial small subunit ribosomal RNA
Source: RNAcentral
GACAGAGGGUGCAAACGUUGUUCGGAAUUACUGGGCGUAAAGCGCGCGUAGGCAGCAGCGUGUGUCGGGCGUGAAAUCCCUAGGCUCAACCUAGGAACUGCACUCGAAACUUCUUUUCUUGAGUACCGGAGAGGAAAGCGGAAUACCUGGUGUAGAGGUGAAAUUCGUAGAUAUCAGGUGGAACACCAGUGGCGAAGGCGGCUUUCUGGACGGUAACUGACGCUGAGACGCGAAAGCGUGGGGAGCAAACAGG